This 166-nucleotide unclassified non-coding RNA is filed under the name Favolus tenuiculus. RNAcentral's name for it is "partial ITS2". The record is from RNAcentral. Lineage: Eukaryota; Fungi; Basidiomycota; Agaricomycetes; Polyporales; Polyporaceae.
CCCGUCUUUGCGGAUGGUGUAAGGCUUGGAUGUUGGAGGUCUAUUGUCGGUUUGUAACGAACCGGCUCCUCUUAAAUGCAUUAGCUCAGUCCUUUGUGGAUCGGCUCCCAGUGUGAUAAUUAUCUGCGCUGCGACCGUGAAGCGUUUUAUUAUGGCGAGCUUCUAA